Molecule: ribosomal RNA, 460 nt
Filed under: uncultured bacterium
Lineage: Bacteria
Description: partial 16S ribosomal RNA
Rfam family: Bacterial small subunit ribosomal RNA
Source: RNAcentral
CCUACGGGGAGCUGCAGUGAGGAAUAUUGGUCAAUGGACGAGAGUCUGAACCAGCCAAGUAGCGUGAAGGAUGACUGCCCUAUGGGUUGUAAACUUCUUUUAUAUGGGAAUAAAAUGUUCCACGUGUGGGAUUUUGUAUGUACCAUAUGAAUAAGGAUCGGCGAACUCCGUGCCAGCAGCCGCGGUAAUACGGAGGAUCCGAGCGUUAUCCGGAUUUAUUGGGUUUAAAGGGAGCGUAGGUGGAUUGUUAAGUCAGUUGUGAAAGUUUGCGGCUCAACCGUAAAAUUGCAGUUGAAACUGGCAGUCUUGAGGACAGUAGAGGUGGGCGGAAUUCGUGGUGUAGCGGUGAAAUGCUUAGAUAUCACGAAGAACUCCGAUUGCGAAGGCAGUUCACUGGACUGCAACUGACACUGAGGCUCGAAAGUGUGGGUAUCAAACAGGAUUAGAUACCCUUGUAGUC